Varanus komodoensis (Komodo dragon) is the source of this 1990-nucleotide RNA transcript. It is a transcript of the gene named derlin-3-like, with no coding region annotated. NCBI's taxonomy places the organism in Eukaryota, Metazoa, Chordata, Lepidosauria, Squamata, Varanidae. The record is from RefSeq and is a predicted model, not a curated record. The transcript has 7 exons.
GCGCAGUCCUGCCAUGGCCCAGCGCGGCUUCGCGGCCGAGUACUGGGGCAUCCCGGCCGUGACGCGCGCUUACACCACUGCCUGCGCCAUCACCACGGCCGCCGUGCAACUGGAGCUCCUCACUCCUUUCCAGCUGUACUUCAACCCGGAGCUCAUCUUCCGCAGGCUGCAGGUCUGGCGUGUCGUCACCACCUUCCUCUUUUUCGGCCCGCUGGGAUUCAGCUGUGUCUUCAAUAUGAUUUUCCUGUACCGCUACUGCCGAAUGCUGGAAGAAGGCUCUUUCCGUGGAAGGACUGCAGACUUCAUCUUCAUGUUCCUCUUUGGAGGAUUUCUCAUGACACUAUUUGGGCUAUUUGCCAGUCUCUUCUUCUUGGGCCAGGCAUUCACCAUCAUGCUGGUAUAUAUCUGGAGCCGAAGAAACCCCUACACCCGCAUGAACUUCUUUGGACUACUGAACUUCCAAGCGCCAUUUCUGCCAUGGGUUCUGAUGGGCUUUUCAUUGCUCCUGGGCAACUCUGUCAUCAUUGACCUUCUCGGUGAGAGGAGAGGGGUGGGGCAGACCAGUCCUCCUGGACACAGUUUGUUUCUCUUGCAGAGUUUUUCACUACAUGUGUCUCCUGCAGGGCACAUGUAGUGCCCUUCUGAUUGUUCCAACCAGCUGAUUCUGGGGCAAUACAGUCUCUUCUGGUUUUGCUGCAGGUCAAGUGCUUGGCAAAUUGGGAGCCGCUUUCCCAAGUCUGGCUGUACAUUAGAAAAGAGAGAUCCCAAAGAAACGUGGUUCCUGGGGGCCAUCAAAGAGGGUAUGUGCAGCUGAGAUGAGAUUCCUAAAGACUUGAUGGAGCUGACUGGUGUGGAUGAGGGCAAGGAAAAGGAGGGCAGCGUAAUGCUCCCUGUGCCCUUGGCAUGCUUUAGGCUUAACUAAGGGAGGGGCUGUUGGUGGCAAAGGCCCGUGGCACUGGGUUUCUUCACAGGGAAUUGGGCAAGAAACUGUGGAUAGGCAAGGUCUGUGUCCGACACCAGAGCAAAGGAUGCAUUCUGCCCAUCAUCCCAAGAGAAGCAAUAGUGUAUCACAACUCUCCUGCUCACACUCUUGCUCUUCUCAGAGCUUUCCUCUCCAGUUCCGACAGCACUCAAGCAUAACCCUUUAAUGCUAGGAAUACUGAAGCAGGCUGAAAUGGAAAAGAGGAAUGCUAGGAGAGAUCCCUUUCUCUAUUGGCCACACAAGGGAAAGGUGAGGAAAACCAGCAAGACCAAUUAAUUGUAAUUCGGACAGGAAGCGUCUAGGUGGCAUAUAGCAGUGAAAUGCAUCUAAUCCAAAAUUUUAAGAAAUCAGUGCAGUAAUAAAAGCAGUGAAGAUUCCAUAAGCCAACAAACAUCAGCAUAAGACAACAUGAAGGCAGCUGUGACCUGGUCUGACAAAACAGUCAAGAGAAGGUCAGAGUAAAGAAGGGCCUUCUUGAAAGCCUGCAGUGACAAGGCCUGUGAGAAAUCUGAUCUCAACACAUUCCGUGGUGGAGGAAGCCCUCAUGUUCUCAUCACAGUGAAAAGGGUCCUUCGAGAGUCAUCUGGACCCAAAUGAGGUUUUAAGUUUAUUAAAAGCAUGGUCACAUUUUCUGUUUACAGUCUCUACCCACAGUGUUUGAAGAAGACGGAUGCUGUGAGAUUCCUGCUGAAUAAGGACUUAUGUUCUGCAACACAGUCUCUGCUUUUUAAACCAUUGCUCUGUUAGAGUGUUCUGAUGGCAGAAUUAUGCCAAGAGUGCCAGCUGGGCUUCUGGGUGGGCCCUCAAGUGGUCGGCUGUGAGCUCACACCUGGCCAAGCAAUGACCAAAGCCCUUUGUGGACCAUUCUUCUGCAGGAAUUGCUGUGGGGCAUGUCUAUUACUUCCUUGAGGACGUCUUUCCCAAUCAGCCUGGAGGGAAGAAAUUGCUGCUCACCCCAGGUUUUCUGAAGCUUGUAUUUGAUCCUUCUGAGGAAGAUCCCAACUACAG